Molecule: unclassified non-coding RNA, 200 nt
Filed under: Melanogaster sp. (in: basidiomycete fungi)
Lineage: Eukaryota; Fungi; Basidiomycota; Agaricomycetes; Boletales; Melanogastraceae
Description: Melanogaster sp. partial internal transcribed spacer 2
Source: RNAcentral
UUAAGUUCAGCGGGUAGUCCUACCUGAUUUGUGGUCAAGCGUCAAAAAGGUAAAAAGGGUCCCAAAGUCCCCCCAAUACCAUGUUUUUCGAAGCAAAGAUCGAAUCUAGGCCUCACACUCCAGCCACGACGAUCAUUAUCACGUCAAAGGCCGUGCAUGCAGGGCUUGUCAACCUUUCGCUAAUGCUUUUAAGGAGAGCC